GCUGGCGGCAGGCCUAACACAUGCAAGUCGAACGGUAACAGUUUCUAGCUUGCUAGAAGAUGACGAGUGGCGGACGGGUGAGUAAUGCCUGGGAAUUUGCCUUUGUGAGGGGGAUAACCAUUGGAAACGAUGGCUAAUACCGCAUAAUAGCUACGGCUCAAAGUGGGGACUUGUUCCUCGCGCACAAAGAGAAGCCCAGGUGAGAUUAGCUAGUUGGUGAGGUAAAGGCUCACCAAGGCGACGAUCUCUAGCUGUUCUGAGAGGAAGAUCAGCCACACUGGGACUGAGACACGGCCCAGACUCCUACGGGAGGCAGCAGUGGGGAAUAUUGCACAAUGGGCGCAAGCCUGAUGCAGCCAUGCCGCGUGUGUGAAGAAGGCCUUCGGGUUGUAAAGCACUUUCAGUUGUGAGGAAAGGUUAGUAGUUAAUACCUGCUAUCUGUGACGUUAACAACAGAAGAAGCACCGGCUAACUCCGUG
RNAcentral lists this ribosomal RNA (479 nucleotides) under uncultured bacterium. RNAcentral describes it as "bacterial SSU rRNA". It matches the Rfam family "Bacterial small subunit ribosomal RNA", at positions 35 to 507 of the family's 1533-position model. The record is from RNAcentral.